Molecule: ribosomal RNA, 560 nt
Filed under: uncultured bacterium
Lineage: Bacteria
Description: bacterial SSU rRNA
Rfam family: Bacterial small subunit ribosomal RNA
Source: RNAcentral
CCUACGGGAGGCAGCAGUGGGGAAUCUUGGACAAUGGGGGCAACCCUGAUCCAGCCAUGCCGCGUGAGUGAAGAAGGCCCUAGGGUCGUAAAACUCUUUCGCCUGUGAUGAUAAUGACAGUAGCAGGUAAAGAAACCCCGGCUAACUCCGUGCCAGCAGCCGCGGUAAUACGGAGGGGGUUAGCGUUGUUCGGAAUUACUGGGCGUAAAGCGCACGUAGGCGGAUUAGAAAGUUAGAGGUGAAAUCCCGGGGCUCAACCCCGGAACUGCCUUUAAAACUACUAGUCUAGAGUUCGAGAGAGGUGAGUGGAAUUCCGAGUGUAGAGGUGAAAUUCGUAGAUAUUCGGAGGAACACCAGUGGCGAAGGCGGCUCACUGGCUCGAUACUGACGCUGAGGUGCGAAAGUGUGGGGAGCAAACAGGAUUAGAUACCCUGGUAGUCCACACCGUAAACGAUGAAUGCCAGUCGUCGGGUAGUAUACUAUUCGGUGACACACCUAACGGAUUAAGCAUUCCGCCUGGGGAGUACGGUCGCAAGAUUAAAACUCAAAGGAAUUGACGG